UCAAUCAGCAGAGAGAGACGACAUGAGUAAUGCUCCUCAUCUCAGUGUUUCUUUCUUUGUCCUGUGUCUUGCAGUGACCAUUCUUGGUAAAAGUGUUGUCCAGACUCCUCCUGAUCUCCUGAAGAUAGAAAAGGACUUUGCAGAGAUUGAAUGUUCACACAAAGUACAAAGCUAUAAUGUCAUACAGUGGUACAAACAAAGCCAGAGCAUCAUGGACCUUCAGCUCAUGGGAUUCCUUAAUAUUGGUCUUGAGAACAAAGAGACUGCGUUUGAAAACAAGAUCAAUCUGAAAGGAGAUGGAAGAAAUAAUGGCACUCUGAUUAUCAACGACCUCACACUAACUGACAGUGCAGUGUAUUUCUGUGCAGCAUAUGACACAGUGCUCAGAAUCACAUCUGUCUAAUACAAAAACUCCUCCCCUGUUACAAGAUUAUCAGUGACUGCAAAUUCAUUCCCAGUCUGCAUCUGGACUAGUGGUUCAGUGAUUAUAAUGCACACCAGCAGCUUAGCAGUACACAAAGAAGGGAAUUUAAAAGUUUAUGAUUUUGAAUACUUGUUUUUAAUCAUUAAUAAUUCUAAUUAAUUCUAAAUCUAAUUUAUAUGAUCAUUCAGAUGCUGACAUAUCUGUAAAUCCACACAAGUUCAACUGGAUGUCGUCAGUAUGAUUCAUUAUAAUUAAGAGCAGUUCAAAAAUGAGCUUUCAGGACAGAAUGCCAAAUCUUUUAUCCCUUUUGCUCUAUAUACAUUUAUAUGUAUAUAUUAUUAUAUACCUUUUUUUAAUGUGUAAUUCAGUUGAGUACAAUAACUAUGAAAUGUUAAACUUUUAA
This is a non-coding RNA of Megalobrama amblycephala (Wuchang bream), 827 nucleotides long. The record is from the annotation of a RefSeq genome assembly. NCBI's taxonomy places the organism in Eukaryota, Metazoa, Chordata, Actinopteri, Cypriniformes, Xenocyprididae.